UCAUGGUCCUAAUCCUGGGCUCAGGCCCUGGGGGCUCCUCCUCCAGGCCAGGGCCUCUUUCAGGGGGGCCUGCCGCAGCUUCUGGGAAGCCAGCCUUCUUCCCAGACAGUAGGUCUGAGUCAGCAACAGGGCCAGAUGUUUUUGUCUGAGUUAACUUUCCAAGGCCUGUCAUGCUGGAGUGAAGCUCUGUCCUGGGGCACAGGGAUCGCCUCUGCCCCUUCAAGAAGGAGAAUUUGAGACCAGCAGUGUGGGACCCAGAGGAGGAAGAAGAGGAGGUGUUCUGACUAGCAUGGGCCAUGGGCUUGGGAAGUCUUCUGUCUCCCUGCUUGGUCUUCUCCACCUUGAUUUCAGAGGCUGGACCUAAAGGAAAAGCUGGGGACAGGCGGGGAGAAGAUGCUUGUCUUGGUCCAGGCCUGAGCUGGACCACAGUCUCUGGGUUUCCCAGAGGUCCUUGCAUCUUGGAGGUAGCUGGCUCUUCUGAGACACCUGCCCAGAGGCCAGAGGCAUAGUCCAGUGGCUCCUUAGGAACACUAAUGUAGGGCUGUCGCUCUGAGUUGUGGGAAAGCCCUUUAUGCUUGACUUUUCUCUCCAAUCCCAAAAUACAGGGCUCCUCCUCUGAGUUUGCUGGCUUUGCACAAUCCCAGUUUUGCAAGGAAGACCCCCCAUCAGGAUCUGAGAGAGCCAAUGUCCUUUGAGACAGAGGAAUCUCCCUAGUCCCACAUAGUUCCUUUAGUGCCCCCAAAGUACACCCACUGGAUGCCUCUACUCCCUCCCUGGGAGACUUUCCUCUAUUUUCUUGGGAAAAGUCCAGGAGAGCCACAUAGUCUCCCUCUAAGGCCUGGCUGAGCCCACUGUCCAUCUUGAAGGCCACCUCCCCAGGCUUGGCUUGCUCCACCUUGAUGAGUCCCGGAUACUUGCUCCUAGGUGUCCUACCCUUAUCCUUGACUGAAUUCUGGGCCAGAAGCACCUGGCUGCCUGAGGAGCUGGCCGGUGCAGCUCCUGGGAGCUGCUCAGAUCAAGUGCCUCCAGUGGAAGGGGAGUCCCAGGCAGGUGAAGGGACCAUCAUUGCCUGGGACCGACCAUCCACAAACUCUGGGCUGGUGAUCUUGGCCCAAGGCACAGGGGCAAUCCCAUUCUUUGAAGCCACCAGGCAGUUGUGCAAGGGUCUUCCCUCAAAGUCACUGUUGAUGGCCUCCAGCCACUCUUGAGUGAAAAGCAGAGGGUGGGAUGACUCGGGAACAGCCUUCUUGUCCACUGUACGGAGGUCCAAGGAGAGGCAUUUGAUCAUCAUGCUGACAGAUUGCUCCUCCCGGGGCUCCACUUGGAGGUAGAAGUCACCCUGGCGCAGUAAGAGGGGAUUGAGUGGAGCCGGUGGACCACAACCUCAUCCUGCAGGCAGAGUGGCCAGCCCUCAUGCAUGAAGAGGCGGUGGGUGUAGGGAGC
RNAcentral lists this long non-coding RNA (1443 nucleotides) under Heterocephalus glaber (naked mole-rat). RNAcentral's name for it is "lncRNA (ENSHGLG00000048457.1)". The record is from RNAcentral. Lineage: Eukaryota; Metazoa; Chordata; Mammalia; Rodentia; Bathyergidae.